RNAcentral lists this long non-coding RNA (8361 nucleotides) under Populus tremula. RNAcentral's name for it is "long non-coding RNA (PTRE_LNC002334)". The record is from RNAcentral. Lineage: Eukaryota; Viridiplantae; Streptophyta; Magnoliopsida; Malpighiales; Salicaceae.
UCAACUUGAUCUGGUAUGGCAACUUUAAGCCAUCUCAGCGAGCCAUUGUCUCAGAUUUUAUUGCCUCUGUCUCUUCUAGAAGACCCACAACAGCCCAACCCUCAGUGGCCACGUGGUGGAAAGCCACUGAGAAAUAUUACAACCUUGUCAAGACGAAGAAAACCUCUCCUCUUCUCCUCUCCGUAGGAGCACAGAUUUUAGACGAGAGCUAUUCGUUGGGGAAAUCGCUCUCCAGCAAGCAAAUCGUGCAGCUAGCAACGAAGGGUGGUCAAAAGGGUGCAAUCAACGUUGUUUUGACAUCAUCCGAUGUUGCUGUUGAAGGGUUUUGCUCUAGUAAAUGUGGUACUCAUGGGUCCUCCUUGAGCGCUAAAACAAUCAGCGGUAAGAGAUCUAAAUUUGCUUACAUUUGGGUCGGUAACUCUGAGACUCAAUGCCCCGGCCAGUGUGCGUGGCCAUUCCACCAGCCAAUCUAUGGACCACAGAACCCUCCAUUGGUUGCACCCAACAAUGAUGUGGGUCUUGAUGGUAUGGUGAUCAAUCUGGCUAGUCUUUUGGCUGGGACUGCAACAAACCCAUUUGGAAAUGGCUACUUCCAGGGUCCGAAGGAGGCUCCUCUUGAGGCCGCGUCUGCUUGUCCUGGGGUCUAUGGUAAGGGUGCGUAUCCUGGUUAUGCUGGGGAUUUGUUAGUGGACUCUGCAACUGGUGCUAGCUAUAAUGCUCAUGGUGUUAAUGGAAGGAAAUACGUGCUUCCAGCUUUGUUUGACCCUUCAACUUCAACUUGUUCCACUUUAAUUUGAGAAGGGAUCGCAUUAGUGUGUAUGAGAGUACCGUAAAGCUGUAGGAGAGAUUAUUCUUUGAUUUAAUCAUUCUUUCAUUCAAUUAUAAUGAAAUCAACUUUUCAGCAUAUUUGAAUUAAUGUUGCCUCUUGACUAUGAUGAUUCAAUUCAGAUUCGUAAUCAUGAAAUUAAUAUUCAUUUUUACUUGUUUCUUGUUCUGUAUCAUCAACAAUUGUAUCAUUUCUUAUUGUUUAUGUCUUCCACUGUAAAUGAUGACAUUAAUGCACUAUCUAUAAACAACUUUCAAUAUUGUUUAUUAAACUUUAUAAUUAUGUCAUUGAAGUGUGAAAUGAUGUCAUUUCAUCCAAAAUUAUAAUUGAUUUUCCUCUUUUUUUUUUUAAGUAUGAUUUUAGUUUAGUCUCUAGAAUCCAAGGUUCGCUUGGAAUGGGUCCAUGAAUUUUUUUUAUAUUGCAACUCGACUCCUAGAUAUAUAUUAGUCUAUUAGCUCGUGUUUUGUUAGGGGUUGGAUUAAUUUUUUAAAAUGUUAAAAGUGCAAUGAAUUUUUUAUUGUGUUGGUAAGCUUGGUUUAAUGGUACAAUCAAUGUUGUUAAAAUCACGAUUUUAAUACAACACGGAAAGCCGUUCACAAACUCGGAUCAUAAAAACGGAUCAUAAAAUCGUAAGGAAUUUUAAAAUACAUUAAAAAAUAAUUCAUACUUCAAAUAAAAAAUUCAUAUAUAAUUCAAGCACUUUAAAAAACAUAUAUAGUUCAAGUAUCUUAAAAUACAUGAUUCAAAUAAAAUUUGAGAGUCAAUUGCUCAGAAAUUGAAGAAUUAAUAACUUUGAGAAUUUAAUUAAAAUUUGGAUUAGUUCAAUUAAUAAAAUCAUGAGUUUAAUUAAAAAAUUGAUUAGUUUGAGAACUUAAUUAAACUUUGAUUUAAUUAAUUAAAGAAAUUGAAGAAUUAAUAACUUUGAGAAUUUAAUUAAAAUUUGGAUUAGUUUAAUUAAUGAAAUCAUAAGCUUAAUUAAGGAAUUGAUAAGUUUGAGAAUUUAAUUAAACUUUAAUUUAAUUAAUUAAAGGAAUUGAGGGUUCAAUUGAAGAAACACCAAGGAGGAAGAGGAAGAGCAAGAACAAGAACAAGGAGAAAAACCCAGCAUAAAAGAGCGGUUGUGAAGCCGAAGAGCAUUAAAGAGGCAUCAACUACAAUUGAUCAGGAUUUUCCUUCUAACUCCUCCACGAGCUGCGAUGACUGUUCAAGGAUCGAUGGCUUGGAUUUCGAGGGUGUUGAUAUCUCCACGAGUGCAUGCUCUACUCCAAAAGCUGAGAGAUUUCGGAUACCAGAGAUUCAUACAUGCCCACCAGCGCCGAGAAAGCAAAGGAUGAUAUCGAUUUGCUCUUUGCAGAGGAGACCAAUUGCUUUCUUUGCUCCUCCAGAUUUAGAGCUCUUCUUCUUCUAUGCACUUCAAGUCUGAAAUGUUUGUUCAUGUCGUAUGAUCAAGAUCAUUUGAAUAAUUUCAAGAGGCGAUCCCUAGUGUUUAUUACUUCCAUCUAGUCACAGAUCAUAGCCUGUUCUUUUCAAUUCCAUUGUUGAAGUACGUACAAUGUGAUAGCUUGUCAAUUAGCUUUACCUUCUCCAUCUUGUUUGCUUGCUAAUUUUAUAGCCUGGGUUUUCUACCAGUUAGGAAGGGGAAUGCAAGCAAAACCCAUAGAAAAAACCUAAAAAACAGGGGAACGAGCAGGGGACUGUGCAAGAAUUGUUAGUACUUUCGCGGUUUCGCCUGAAAACUGAAGUGAAGAGUGAAGACAGUGCAAGAAAAAUCAGUACAAGAAAAAAGUGAAGACAGUCUGUGACUGUGCAAGAAAAAUCCAAUAGGCUUCUGACAGCUAGAUAUGAGGGGGGAAUUUUGUUUUAGCGCUUAAUUUUGUCAAAAUCGCAAAAUCGGUCUUGAAAUCGCGAUUUUGCGCAAUUUCAUCCGAUUUUUGCGAUUUCACCUGAUUUCAAUCCGAUUUUAUCCAUUUUCAAUUUUUUCAAGCGAUUCAACCCGUAAUGCAUGUUUUGACUCAUUAGUUUCCAACUAAAUUGCACAAGAGUUAGUCCGAAUUAACCUUACAAACUCGUGUUUUAGAUCAUGAUAAUGAGAUAAUUCAAUAGAAAAAAACUGAAAAAAAAACUACAAAGCCUUUUUUUAAAAAUAAAAAAACAAUAUUGAAUGGUGAUAUAAAAAAAAAGACAAAAAAAGAUGUCAACCCUUGAACCAGGUCAUUAGACUUGAAACACCUUACAUGACAUGAUCAUAAAGUCCAAUCCAUAGAAAAUGAAAUAAAAAAAUUACAAACAAGAAAUCUAAAAUUAAAAAUAUCAAUGAAAAAAAUGAAGGUUAUAAUCAAAAUAAAAAAUAAAUUAAAAAGCAACAAUAAAUUUUCACUUUGAGAUUUAAAAUGAAAAAAAAAAACCAAAAGAUUGAGGAUAGAAAAAAAUAUACACUAUCAACCUGGAUUGGAGGUUGACAUUAAAAAAAAAAAUAAACAUUUAUAAAAGGGUUAAUGAAAAAGAAUCAUAAAAAUAAGGAUUAAAUCGAAAAUCAAUAUAUGAUAAAAAAAAAUUAAACAAGUAGAAUUUUUCAACAUGUUUUUUUACAUUAAAAAAGUCAUAAAUGUAAAUCAUAAAACUUAUACACGCAUUAACUUAUACACGCAUUAAAUUAAAAACAUCAAUACAUGUUUUUUUUUCAAUGUAAAAAAAUAUGUAAUCUUAACCUCUCUUAUUAUAUGGAACCUUUUGACAAAAAAUUGUAUGUUUUGAUGGUUUAAAUUUUCUUAAAUAACAACUUUCUCUCUCUAACUUGUUAAUUUAUUGAAUAAUUUCGAGUCUUGAGUAAUUUUUCAAAUGGGUUCUGAAAACUGAAUGCAAUGAAUUAAUUUAAGACUAAGAGUCUUGCUUUUUCUCUAAGCUUAUCAAUUUGUUUUCCAAAUCUAGUUUUCAUUUAUUAUUAAAAUAUAUUUGAAGAAUGGACAGAGUGAAAUUUGAUGGCCAUGGGAUCAAAUUUCUCAAAAGAAAAUAUGGAGGUGAGGAUUACAAUUACAUAAUAUAUAAAGCAAUGUCUCGAUCUCUGAAGUGAGCAGAGAGUUUUGAGAUAUAGCAUGCUUAGCCCUGUAUCAAACAUGGAUCAGAUAAAUUUUGAAUUUUUUUUAUUUAAAAUUAAUUUUUUUAAUGAUUUCUUUAUUGUUUUAAUGUGUUUAUAUUAAAAAUAAUUUUUAAAAAAUAAAAAAUAUAUUAUUUUAAUAUAAUUAAAAAAACUAUUUUAAAAAGUAAUUUUUAUUAUAUUUUUAAGUACCCUCAUAAAUUACGUCGUUCCUAAAAUUAUAGUUGUGUUGUUCUCAAAAGCAUAAUCUAAAUUUGUUUUUCUUCAGAUCAUUAAUAAUUAUUUUCUCAGGUAUAAUUUUUAUUCUUUGCAUUAAAUUAAUUUUUUGAAAUAAAUAAAUAAUAUAUUUACCACUAUCAACUCGCGAGGAAAUGAUUUUCAAUGAGAAUUGGGUUCAUAUUUUCGGUGUUGUAUUAUUAAUUAUUAAGAUCGAGCGUUGCUAUUUUUCUAUAACCUUUUCUAUUUUUCAUCUUAUUGCGCUAUUUUAAAAAAUGACCGUUAAAUUGUUACUUGGAUUUUGCCUAACACUAACUUCUUCAAAGCUUUUAGACCUUCGACUAGCCGCGGUGCCAUCAUAAUAUUCCAGUAAAGUAGCUACAAUAUUUUCCAAAUAUUAAUUAACUCUUCUUUAUUUUAGCGUGCCUUAAUUAAAAUGGUAUUGAAUAAAAAAUAGUAAAUAAAAGACAAUUAAAUAGUUAAUUUAUUGAAUAAAAAAUUUAAUUUUUAUAAAUUAUUUAUCGAUUUUGGAUAUUCAUCAUCUAACUAUUAUUUAUUAUUUAAUAAAAAAUAAAUAGUUAUAUAUAAUAUAUAUGUAUAUAUAAAUGAUAAAAUUAUAAUAGUAUAGUGUUUUAUAUCAAUAUUGCAAUAUGUAUAUAUCAUGUUGUAUUAUAAAGAUUUAAAUUUUUUAUAAAUAUAUCUAUAUAAUAUAAUAUAUUUCUACUUGGACUCAGGCAAGUUUCAUAUUGGAUUUGAUAAUAUUCAUAUUUUAUCCAUUAUAUAUUAGAUAAGGUAAUUAUCAAAUAAUAUCCACUAAUUCAGGUCAAAUCAAUCAGGUCAAUAUUUAUCGAUUUUGAACUAAAUUGUUGUCUAUACUAAUAAAUUGAUCCAUUAAGUUAUGAGGGAUUCAGAAUGGAAUCAUGGUAUAUCCACCGACCAGUUUCACCGAAUAGGCUAACUAGCUAUUUGACCAACGCUUUACUGUGAAUUAGAUAAAAAAAAAAAAUAGAAACAAAUAAGCUUACUUUUUCAGCGUUUUUUUUUCUAUAAAAAUCCUAAUCAUAAAUAAAUUAAAAAGCCUAUACAUACAUUCAAUUAAAUAAAUCAAGAAUCAUUUGUGCUAAUAAAUGCAAAAAAAGAAGAAGAAGGUGUUAACGCAUCUAUAAGAUUAAAUAUCAUCUUUGGGCCCAUUAAGUUGUGAUGAAUUUAGAAUAGAAUCAUGACAUAUGCACCGAUUAGUUUUACCAAAUAGGCUAAAUUAGCUAUUUGACUCGCAGUUCAACAUGGAUUGGAUAAUUUGCUCUGGCAAAAAAAAAAAUAUAUGCAGCCUUUUCAACAUUUCUUUUGACUAAAAAAUUCCUAAUCAUUAAAAAAAACAUAUACAAUAAUUUUAUUAAAUAAAUCGAGAAUUAUCUAUGUCAUCAAUAAAUGUGAAACAAAACGUUUUAAAACAUCUAUUCAAUUCACCUCAUUGUGGGCCAGAUAAAAAAAAAAUUAUAAUGCAAAAGAAUGAAUGAGUAUGUGUUGUUAACAUGUUUUGUGACAUCGAGUAAAAAAUAUAACUAUAAAUUGAAAAUCCAAUGCUUAUAUUUAAUAAAAUAAAACAAGGAUCAUGUGCAUUAAUAAAAACAUUUAUGAUCUCAAGUUAAUUUUUAAUAUAAUAGAAAAAUAAAACAUUAUUGUGAGUGUGUUUCACUAUAUCAUGAUUGAUACAAUCCAAACUAUACCAAAUAAUCUAUUAGAAGUUCAAAUCGGUCCAAUUACAAGAUCAAGGGUAAAAAAACUUAAAGAUGCAUUCAAUGAGUUUAUUUAGAGUAAUUGAUCCAAAAUGAAUUUCAAGAAAGUUACAACUUCAACAAGUGAUAAUCAGAUCUUAGUCAAUUUAAUAUAUGUGUAAGAGGAGUUCGAUCCAUCUACAACAUAGGCCUAAUUAUUUCACAAUAAUGGGCUAAUUAAUUUUGGCAUUAGAGGUGGUUUGGGGUUUGUUUUCCUAAUACAGUUUUACUCUAACAAUUAUCAUUUUUAAAUCAUAAUUGUUAACAAUGCAUCGGGUUGAAAUUUUACCUGAAGUUUUUGAAAGUUAUGUUCUAUUUUUACUUAAAAUUGUAAAGCAAUAGGAGACUAGAAAGGCUUUGCGAUAAUGUCCAGAAGCUACUAUGCGAAAAUUGUAUUAGUUUUCUAAUUGAUUUAAGACUUUUUUUUCUAUUUUAUUUAGAACUCUUUUAUUAUUUAUCCAAUAUUAUUUAUAAAGUUUCGACAAAUUACAAAGAGAGUUAUUUAACUUAUAUUUAGGGUUUUUUUUUUGGACAAACUUUAAUUUUGUAAUUAUUAUUGUGUGUGUGAGGUUUUGCUCAUACCUUUUGAUUUUUCAUUGAACUACUAUGACUUAUCAAAGAAUUAAUCAAGCUUUAUGAUGUUUUUCAUACUUCUCGUUCGUGUUUUUUUAUAGGCAAUGAAUGAGGGUUCGAUUACUUAUAGUUUUGGUGUCUCGGCACAAGUUAUCGUUAUGUCAAGCUCAAUUUGUUUUAAUCUUAAUGGUCAUUGUUUAUAACCAAGAAUAAAUAAUUUUUAUUUAUAUAAAAUAUAAAAUAAAAUAUAUAGAUGAAUUAUAAUAAUAUCUAAGAAACAUUAAACACAUAUAAAAUAAUUACAAAAUUAUCACUAUUUAAAAAAAGUUAAAUAAAUAAUCUAAAAAGAUUUAGAGAGAAUAGAUAUUGAUUUAAAUAUAAAUUAAAAAAAUAUUUUAAUAAAAUACAUAUUAAAAAAAUAUCAAUUAAAAAAAUAAAAAUUAAAAAACAAAAUCAAGUUGGUUGGUGUUGGGCGUGGCAAGCUAGGUUUGUGUGCCUUGCUCAUUUUGAAAAAAAGCAUGAAUAACACUGACAUACACUCUUUUUUUAUUAUUUUUUUAAUGGAUGAAUAGCAUAAAACAUCAAUUUCUUCACCGAUAACAUAAUAUUUUCUCCAUGAAAAAUUUUCAAGGACAAUAAACAAUUUCAGGAAGACAGUCCCAGAUACAGCCAGUCAAAGAUCAUAUAAAAGCUCAUAUAAAAGCCACACAAAACCAGGCUAGCCAUUGAAGUUAGAUGCACCUUAGAUUUAAGACUAGAUUCUGGGUUUUAACUGGGUUAUUUUUUUUUUUAAAUUAAAACAAAGUUGUUUUAGUAAACUAUAUAUAUAAAAGUCAACAGGUUUACGGUCGGGUCUUGACCGGGUCAACCUGCUGGAUCAGCCGGAUCAUACCGGGUUUUUAUUCAUUCGUUGUUUUAAACACAACCUGAUUUCAAUCUCGGAUUGGCCGGGUUCCAGAUCAACUUGCCGUGCCGAACCGGGUUUCGAAACUAUGAGAUACACACUCCCUAAUUACAGAUUUAAACAUAUCAAGAGAGUUAUUUUUUAGGCGAUUAGAACAACCACUAGUCAAACCUAUUAACCCAGCAAUGGAAAACCUAAUUUUCUUGUGAGGUUUUUUCGCGAGCGGAGCUGUCUACAAAAAGCUAUCUCAUUCACUUUCGGUCCUCUUAGCUGGCCAAGCACUGUAAUGUUAAAUUGUUAACAAUAGAAGCAGUUGAAAACGAGAGUAGCCGCGCGCGCAUUAGGUUGGCAAUGAAACAACGCGCUAUUUAUCUGUCAUGUCACCACUGGCCACUUUAACCCACUCUCCGCGUAGCUUCCCUCCCCAGGAUUUCAACUCUUCCCUGAGACUAUAUAUACCCAAUCUCCUCCUCCGUUUCUCUCCACUCACAAAAUCCUCUCUUCCAUCACUACCGAUCCUCAGAUCAAUCAUGGCCUCCUUUCUUUCUUCACAUUCUCUUCUUCAACUUGCUCUGUUAAUCUCUAUUAUACAAUUCAGCUCAGCUGCAAGGACCUUCUCCGUGUCAGAUCAAAGCCAGGAUCCCUUGUUCUUUCAAUACCACAAUGGCCCUCUUCUCACCGGUGAAGUUUCUAUCAACUUGAUCUGGUAUGGCAACUUUAAGCCAUCGCAGCGAGCCAUUGUCUCAGAUUUUAUUGCCUCUGUCUCUUCUAGAAGACCCACAACAGCCCAACCCUCUGUGGCCACGUGGUGGAAAGCCACUGAGAAAUAUUACAACCUUGUCAAGACGAAGAAAACCUCUCCUCUUCUCCUCUCCGUAGGAGCACAGAUUUUAGACGAGAGCUAUUCGUUGGGGAAAUCGCUCUCCAGCAAGCAAAUCGUGCAGCUAGCAACGAAGGGUGGUCAAAAGGGUGC